GAGUUUGAUCAUGGCUCAGGACGAACGCUGGCGGCGUGCUUAAAACAUGCAAGUCGAACGAGGUCCAUGGUGUCGCAAGACACCGGAAGACCGAGUGGCGAACGGGUGCGUAACACGUGAGGAACCUGCCCCAGAGACCGGGAUAACUCUCCGAAAGGAGAGCUAAUACCGGAUGUGCUCAUCGGAUCGCCUGGUCUGAUGAGGAAAUGGAUUCCGCUCUGGGAUGGCCUCGCGGCCUAUCAGCUUGUUGGUGGGGUAACGGCUCACCAAGGCGACGACGGGUAGCUGGUCUGAGAGGACGAUCAGCCACACUGGGACUGAGACACGGCCCAGACUCCUACGGGAGGCAGCAGUUAGGAAUCUUGCGCAAUGGGCGAAAGCCUGACGCAGCAACGCCGCGUGGGGGAUGAAUGCUCUCGGGUUGUAAACCCCUUUCAGCAGGGACGAUUAUGACGGUACCUGCAGAAGAAGGACCGGCCAACUACGUGCCAGCCGCCGCCGUAAU
Molecule: ribosomal RNA, 505 nt
Filed under: uncultured bacterium
Lineage: Bacteria
Description: bacterial SSU rRNA
Rfam family: Bacterial small subunit ribosomal RNA
Source: RNAcentral